RNAcentral lists this ribosomal RNA (253 nucleotides) under uncultured bacterium. RNAcentral's name for it is "partial 16S ribosomal RNA". It matches the Rfam family "Bacterial small subunit ribosomal RNA", at positions 524 to 776 of the family's 1533-position model. The record is from RNAcentral.
UACAGAGGGUGCAAGCGUUGUUCGGAAUUGCUGGGCGUAAAGCGUGCGUAGUCGGUAUUGAGAGUCGCGGGUGAAAUCCCAGGGCUUAACCCUGGAACUGCCUGCGAGACCUCAGUACUAGAGUGUGAGAGGGGAUAGUGGAAUACCCAGUGUAGCGGUGAAAUGCGUAGAGAUUGGGUGGAACACCGGUGGCGAAGGCGGCUAUCUGGCUCACAACUGACGAUCAGGCACGAAAGCGUGGGGAGCAAACAGG